AUUAAACGCUGGCGGCAUGCCUUACACAUGCAAGUCGAACGGCAGGCACGGGGCAACCUGGUGGCGAGUGGCGAACGGGUGAGUAAAGCAUCGGAACGUGCCCUGGAGUGGGGGAUAACGUAGCGAAAGUUACGCUAAUACCGCAUAUUCUGUGAGCAGGAAAGCAGGGGAUCGCAAGACCUUGCGCUCUGGGAGCGGCCGAUGUCGGAUUAGCUAGUUGGUGGGGUAAAGGCCUACCAAGGCGACGAUCCGUAGCGGGUCUGAGAGGAUGAUCCGCCACACUGGGACUGAGACACGGCCCAGACUCCUACGGGAGGCAGCAGUGGGGAAUUUUGGACAAUGGGCGGAAGCCUGAUCCAGCCAUGCCGCGUGAGUGAAGAAGGCCUUCGGGUUGUAAAGCUCUUUCGGCCGGGAAGAAAUCGCAUGGGUCAAUACCCUGUGUGGAUGACGGUACCGGAAUAAGAAGCACCGGCUAACUACGUGC
This 484-nucleotide ribosomal RNA is filed under the name uncultured Propionivibrio sp. RNAcentral's name for it is "bacterial SSU rRNA". It matches the Rfam family "Bacterial small subunit ribosomal RNA", at positions 29 to 508 of the family's 1533-position model. The record is from RNAcentral. Lineage: Bacteria; Pseudomonadati; Pseudomonadota; Betaproteobacteria; Rhodocyclales; Rhodocyclaceae.